Molecule: ribosomal RNA, 258 nt
Filed under: uncultured bacterium
Lineage: Bacteria
Description: partial 16S ribosomal RNA
Rfam family: Bacterial small subunit ribosomal RNA
Source: RNAcentral
CCUACGGGAGGCAGCAGUGGGGAAUAUUGCACAAUGGGGGAAACCCUGAUGCAGCGACGCCGCGUGAGUGAAGACGGCUUUCGGGAUGUAAAGCUCUGUCUGCAGGGACGAUAAUGACGGUACCUGACUAGGAAGCCCCGGCUAACUACGUGCCAGCAGCCGCGGUAAUACGUAGGGGGCAAGCGUUAUCCGGAUUUACUGGGCGUAAAGGGAGCGUAGGCGGCCUUUUAAGUGAGAUGUGAAAUCCCGGGGCUCAAC